RNAcentral lists this ribosomal RNA (497 nucleotides) under uncultured bacterium. Its description in RNAcentral is "partial 16S ribosomal RNA". It matches the Rfam family "Bacterial small subunit ribosomal RNA", at positions 28 to 507 of the family's 1533-position model. The record is from RNAcentral.
GAUGAACGCUGGCGGCGUGCCUAAUACAUGCAAGUCGAGCGAACAGACGAGGAGCUUGCUUCUCUGACGUUAGCGGCGGACGGGUGAGUAACACGUGGAUAACCUACCUAUAAGACUGGGAUAACUUCGGGAAACCGGAGCUAAUACCGGAUAAUAUUUUGAACCGCAUGGUUCAAUAGUGAAAGACGGUUUUGCUGUCACUUAUAGAUGGAUCCGCGCUGCAUUAGCUAGUUGGUAAGGUAACGGCUUACCAAGGCAACGAUGCGUAGCCGACCUGAGAGGGUGAUCGGCCACACUGGAACUGAGACACGGUCCAGACUCCUACGGGAGGCAGCAGUAGGGAAUCUUCCGCAAUGGGCGAAAGCCUGACGGAGCAACGCCGCGUGAGUGAUGAAGGUCUUCGGAUCGUAAAACUCUGUUAUUAGGGAAGAACAAAUGUGUAAGUAACUGUGCACGUCUUGACGGUACCUAAUCAGAAAGCCACGGCUAACUACGUG